Molecule: ribosomal RNA, 734 nt
Filed under: uncultured Acetomicrobium sp.
Lineage: Bacteria; Thermotogati; Synergistota; Synergistia; Synergistales; Acetomicrobiaceae
Description: bacterial SSU rRNA
Rfam family: Bacterial small subunit ribosomal RNA
Source: RNAcentral
GACGAACGCUGGCGGCGCGCUUAACACAUGCAAGUCGUGCGAUACCUCGAGCAAGUCUUACGACAAGCUCAAGGUGUAGCGGCGGACGGGUGAGUAACACGUGAGUAGCUGUCCUAAGGAGGGGGAUAACGCCUGGAAACGGGUGCUAAAACCCCAUAUGCCUCGCAAGAGGUGAAAGUGUAGCUUGCUACAGCCUUAGGGUGUGCUCGCGGCCUAUCAGCUAGUUGGUGAGGUAACGGCUCACCAAGGCUAAGACGGGUAGCCGGCCUGAGAGGGUGUACGGCCACACUGGAAUUGAGAUACGGUCCAGACUCCUACGGGAGGCAGCAGUGGGGAAUCUUGGGCAAUGGGCGAAAGCCUGACCCAGCGACGCCGCGUUGGGGAUGAAGCCCUUCGGGGUGUAAACCCAUGUUGUAGGGGACGAAGAAAGUGACGGUACCCUACGAGGAAGCCCCGGCUAACUACGUGCCAGCAGCCGCGGUAAUACGUAUGGGGCUAGCGUUGUUCGGAUUUAUUGGGCGUAAAGGGCGUGUAGGCGGGGGACUAAGUCAGGUGUGAAAUCCAUGGGCUCAACCCAUGAACUGCACUUGAUACUGGUUCUCUUGAGUUUGGAAGAGGAGAGCGGAAUUCCCGGUGUAGUGGUGGAAUGCGUAGAUAUCGGGAGGAACACCAGUGGCGAAAGCGGCUUCCUGGUCCGCACCUGACGCUAGAUGCGAAAGCGUGGGGAGCGAACG